Molecule: ribosomal RNA, 726 nt
Filed under: uncultured bacterium
Lineage: Bacteria
Description: bacterial SSU rRNA
Rfam family: Bacterial small subunit ribosomal RNA
Source: RNAcentral
UCGAGGGGCAGCGGGGGCGAAGCUUGCUUCGCCUGCCGGCGACCGGUGCACGGGUGAGUAACACGUAUGCGACCUGCCCCCCGCAGGGGGAUAACCGGGAGAAAUCCCGACUAAUACCGCGUAACGCCGCUGGGCUGCAUGGCCCGGCGGCCAAAGGAAGCGAUUCCGGCGGGGGAUGGGCAUGCGGCGCAUUAGCUAGUCGGCGGGGUAACGGCCCACCGAGGCGACGAUGCGUAGGGGUUCUGAGAGGAAGGUCCCCCACACUGGUACUGAGACACGGACCAGACUCCUACGGGAGGCAGCAGUGAGGAAUAUUGGUCAAUGGGCGUAAGCCUGAACCAGCCAAGUCGCGUGAGGGAAGACGGUCCUACGGAUUGUAAACCUCUUUUGCCGGGGAGCAACGGGGUCCUUGCGAGGGCCCUAUGAGAGUACCCGGAGAAAAAGCAUCGGCUAACUCCGUGCCAGCAGCCGCGGUAAUACGGAGGAUGCGAGCGUUAUCCGGAUUUAUUGGGUUUAAAGGGUGCGUAGGCGGGCUGUUAAGUCAGCGGUCAAAUGUCGGGGCUCAACCCCGGCCUGCCGUUGAAACUGGCGGCCUCGAGUGGGCGAGAAGUAUGCGGAAUGCGUGGUGUAGCGGUGAAAUGCAUAGAUAUCACGCAGAACUCCGAUUGCGAAGGCAGCAUACCGGCGCCCUACUGACGCUGAGGCACGAAAGCGUGGGUAUCGAAC